Jaculus jaculus (lesser Egyptian jerboa) is the source of this 107-nucleotide small nuclear RNA. Lineage: Eukaryota; Metazoa; Chordata; Mammalia; Rodentia; Dipodidae. The record is from RefSeq and is a predicted model, not a curated record.
GUGCUCACUUUGGUAGUACAUAUGCUAAAGUUGGAACGUUACAGAGAAGAUUAGCAUGGCCCCCACAAAAGGAUGACAUGCAAAUUCAUGAAGCGUUCCAUAUUUUU